CCUGGGCCCGGCGCGCAGCCGCAGCCGCAGCUCCAGUCCGCUGGCCGUCCGACCCAGGCACGGCUCGACACAGCUGAGCUCGAGCCGCGCCGACUCGGCGCAGAGCGACACGAGCGCGCUGCUCAGCUCGCUGACGCGCGACAUGAGCGUCUCGCCGGCCGGCUCCUCGCUGCACAGCUACGCAUCGGCCCUCAACGCCAAGGAGGGCGGGGAGCGCUCGGCCGGCCGGUCAGUGGCCCAGACGGGCACUCAGACGUCCCCGGACGGCGCGCCGGCGCCGUCGGCCUUCAGUAUCGGCGGCGGCGGGCGGCGCGCCGACGAGGCGCCGCGCCUCUCAC
This is a long non-coding RNA of Pollicipes pollicipes, 338 nucleotides long. RefSeq lists it as uncharacterized. The transcript has 3 exons. The record is from RefSeq and is a predicted model, not a curated record. Lineage: Eukaryota; Metazoa; Arthropoda; Thecostraca; Pollicipedomorpha; Pollicipedidae.